This 468-nucleotide ribosomal RNA is filed under the name uncultured bacterium. RNAcentral's name for it is "partial 16S ribosomal RNA". It matches the Rfam family "Bacterial small subunit ribosomal RNA", at positions 28 to 507 of the family's 1533-position model. The record is from RNAcentral.
GACGAACGCUGGCGGCGUGCUUAACACAUGCAAGUCGAACGGAAAGGCCCUGCUUUUGUGGGGUGCUCGAGUGGCGAACGGGUGAGUAACACGUGAGUAACCUGCCCUUGACUUUGGGAUAACUUCAGGAAACUGGGGCUAAUACCGGAUAGGAGCUCCUGCUGCAUGGUGGGGGUUGGAAAGUUUCGGCGGUUGGGGAUGGACUCGCGGCUUAUCAGCUUGUCGGUGGGGUAGUGGCUUACCAAGGCUUUGACGGGUAGCCGGCCUGAGAGGGUGACCGGCCACAUUGGGACUGAGAUACGGCCCAGACUCCUACGGGAGGCAGCAGUGGUGAAUAGUGCACUAUGGGCGGAAGCCUGAUGCAGCAACGCCGCGUGCGGGAUGACGGCCUUCGGGUUGUAAGCCGCUUUCGCCUGUGACGAAGCGUGAGUGACGGGAAUGGGUAAAGAAGCACCGGCUAACUACGUG